GUGCUUGCUUUGGUAGUACAUAUACUAAAAUUGGAACAAUACAGAGAUUAGCGUGGUCGCUGCACAAGGAUGUCAUGCAAAUUCAUGAAGCAUUCCAUGUUUUU
This is a small nuclear RNA of Saimiri boliviensis boliviensis (Bolivian squirrel monkey), 104 nucleotides long. Lineage: Eukaryota; Metazoa; Chordata; Mammalia; Primates; Cebidae. The record is from Ensembl.